This 1119-nucleotide ribosomal RNA is filed under the name uncultured organism. RNAcentral describes it as "bacterial SSU rRNA". It matches the Rfam family "Bacterial small subunit ribosomal RNA", at positions 154 to 1275 of the family's 1533-position model. The record is from RNAcentral.
AAAGGGGGUCUAAUACCGGAUAAUAUCCGGAGAUGGCAUCUUCACCGGAUCAAAUGUUUUUCGCUCAAGGAUGGGCCCGCGCUCCAUUAGCUUGUUGGUAGGGUAAAAGCCUACCAAGGCUACGAUGGAUAGCCGGCCUGAGAGGGUGAUCGGCCACACUGGGACUGAGAUACGGCCCAGACUCCUACGGGAGGCAGCAGUAGGGAAUAUUGCGCAAUGGGCGAAAGCCUGACGCAGCAACGCCGCGUGGAUGAUGAAGCUCCUUGGAGUGUAAAAUCCUGUCAGCGGGGAAGAACCGGUCUUUAUGGCCCUGACGGUACCCGCAGAGGAAGUUCCGGCUAACUCCGUGCCAGCAGCCGCGGUAAUACGGGGGGAACGAGCGUUGUUCGGAUUCACUGGGCGUAAAGGGCGUGUAUGCGGGUCUUCAAGUCGGAUGUGAAAACCGGUGGCUUAACUGCCCGGCCUGCAUUCGAUACUGUAGACCUUGAGUACGAGAGAGGAAAGUGGAAUUCCAGGUGUAGCGGUGACAUGCGUAGAUAUCUGGAAGAACACCGGUGGCGAAGGCGGCUUUCUGGCUCGAUACUGACGCUAAAGGCGCGAAAGCUAGGGGAGCAAACAGGAUUAGAUACCCUGGUAGUCCUAGCCGUAAACGUUGGGCACUAGAUGUUGGAGGUGUCGACCCCUUCAGUGCCGCAGCUAACGCAUUAAGUGCCCCGCCUGGGGAGUACGGUCGCAAGGCUGAAACUCAAAAGAAUUGACGGGGGCCCGCACAAGCGGUGGAGUAUGUGGUUCAAUUCGAGGCAACGCGAAGAACCUUACCUGGGUUUGACAUCCACUGGACAGCCUCUGAAAGGAGGUCUCCCUUCGGGGCCAGUGGACAGGUGCUGCAUGGCUGUCGUCAGCUCGUGCCGUGAGGUGUUGGGUUAAGUCCCGCAACGAGCGCAACCCUUGUCCUUAGUUGCCAUCAGGUCAUGCUGGGAACUCUAAGGAGACUGCCGGUGAUAAACCGGAGGAAGGUGGGGAUGAUGUCAAGUCAUCAUGGCCCUUACAUCCAGGGCUACACACGUACUACAAUGGCCGGUACAGAGGGCAGCAAAGCCGCGAGGUGGAGCUAAUCCC